Diprion similis is the source of this 386-nucleotide long non-coding RNA. RefSeq lists it as uncharacterized. The transcript has 3 exons. NCBI's taxonomy places the organism in Eukaryota, Metazoa, Arthropoda, Insecta, Hymenoptera, Diprionidae. The record is from RefSeq and is a predicted model, not a curated record.
UGAUAUGUCACUGCAGGACCUGCAAGAUUCAUUAGAGUUCUAGAGUUUAUACCAAAGUUUGUACUUCUUGAUAAAAGUAUUUCAAUUUUUACCUUGUGCAACUGUUGCCACAAACUUGGUGGUGCGUUAACGUAUACACGAGAUAUUCCAUCCCACCAUACAUCUAUUCCAUUCGGCAGCUCAGCAAUCAGAAAAAUACUACUGGCUACUCGAAGUUUUAUUCCUCCCGAUGUGGCAGUUUUAGUGCACGAUGGCGCCUCAGAUGACAAUGCUGACGUGUAACCCAUAUUCUAUUAAAUUACAGAUAUUAGUGAUGGUAUAGUGGAAAGAAGCGUGAAAAAAAUAAUGGUGCAAUAUUUCAUGUGUUGAAAAUAAAGGCCACAUAU